This 723-nucleotide ribosomal RNA is filed under the name uncultured bacterium. Its description in RNAcentral is "bacterial SSU rRNA". It matches the Rfam family "Bacterial small subunit ribosomal RNA", at positions 111 to 823 of the family's 1533-position model. The record is from RNAcentral.
UAAUACNUAAGUAACCUGCCCUAGACAGGGGGAUAACUGCUGGAAACGGCAGCUAAGACCGCAUAGGUAUGGACACUGCAUGGUGACCAUAUUAAAAGUGCCAAGGCACUGGUAGAGGAUGGACUUAUGGCGCAUUAGCUGGUUGGUGAGGUAACGGCUCACCAAGGCGACGAUGCGUAGCCGACCUGAGAGGGUGACCGGCCACACUGGGACUGAGACACGGCCCAGACUCCUACGGGAGGCAGCAGUAGGGAAUUUUCGGCAAUGGGGGGAACCCUGACCGAGCAACGCCGCGUGAAGGAAGAAGGAAUUCGUUCUGUAAACUUCUGUUAUAAAGGAAGAACGGCGGAUAUAGGGAAUGAUAUCCGAGUGACGGUACUUUAUGAGAAAGCCACGGCUAACUACGUGCCAGCAGCCGCGGUAAUACGUAGGUGGCGAGCGUUAUCCGGAAUUAUUGGGCGUAAAGAGGGAGUAGGCGGCGGCAGAGGUCUGUGGUGAAGGACUGAAGCUUAACUUCAGUAAGCCAUAGAAACCGGGCUGCUAGAGUGCAGGGGAGGAUCGUGGAAUUCCAUGUGUAGCGGUGAAAUGCGUAGAUAUAUGGAGGAACACCAGUGGCGAAGGCGACGGUCUGGCCUGUAACUGACGCUCAUUCCCGAAAGCGUGGGGAGCAAAUAGGAUUAGAUACCCUAGUAGUCCACGCCGUAAACGAUGAGUACUAAGUGU